This 497-nucleotide ribosomal RNA is filed under the name uncultured bacterium. Its description in RNAcentral is "partial 16S ribosomal RNA". It matches the Rfam family "Bacterial small subunit ribosomal RNA", at positions 28 to 507 of the family's 1533-position model. The record is from RNAcentral.
GAUGAACGCUGGCGGCGUGCCUAAUACAUGCAAGUCGAGCGAACAGACGAUUCUCUUGCUCCUCUGACGUUAGCUUCUGCCGUUUGAUUAACCCUUGGAUAACCUACCUCUAAUCCUGGUAUACCUUCGGGAAACCUGACCUACUACCGGAUAAUCUAUUGCACCGCAUGGUUCAAUAGUGAACGACUGUUUUUCUGUCCCUUCUAGAUUUCUCCGCUCCGCAUUAGCUAGUUGGUAAGGUAACGGCUUACCAAGGCGACGAUGCGUAGCCGACCUGAGAGGGUGAUCGGACACACUGGAACUGAGACACGGUCAAGAAUCCUACGGGAGGAAGCAGUAGGGAAUCUUCCGCAAUGGGAGAAAGCCUGACGGAGCAACGCCGCGUGAGUGAUGAAGGUAUUCGGAUCGUAAAACUCUGUUAUUAGGGAAGAAAAAAUGGGUAAGUAACUAUGCACGUAUUGACGGUACCUAAUCAGAAAGCCACGGCUAACUACGUG